Molecule: small RNA, 201 nt
Filed under: Streptomyces albus
Lineage: Bacteria; Bacillati; Actinomycetota; Actinomycetes; Kitasatosporales; Streptomycetaceae
Description: c-di-AMP sequence
Rfam family: c-di-AMP riboswitch aptamer (ydaO/yuaA leader)
About the family: This family represents a conserved RNA structure found upstream of the ydaO and yuaA genes in Bacillus subtilis and related genes in other bacteria. The ydaO/yuaA element is thought to act as a genetic "off" switch for the ydaO and yuaA genes in its native state. It is believed that the element may be triggered during osmotic shock leading to activation of ydaO, a predicted amino acid transporter gene, and members of the yuaA-yubG operon which code for KtrA and KtrB K+ transporters.
Source: RNAcentral
UCCGGGCGGACGCCGAGUCCUGCCGCCGUCCGGAUGUCCGGUCGACAGGAGUGGAUCGGCAGGAGUGGAGGACCCGUGCAGUACGGGCCGCCGGAGCCGUAUCCGAGCGGUCCUUGGGGUCAAGUCGCGCUACCGCGGCCGGGCGACUUCGCCAGCCCGAACCCGACAGGUCAUCCUUCACAGGCGGCUGACGAAGGGUUG